UGGGGAAUUUUGGACAAUGGGCGAAAGCCUGAUCCAGCCAUGCCGCGUGAGUGAAGAAGGCCUUCGGGUUGUAAAGCUCUUUUAGACGGAAAGAAAGAGUCGCAAUGAAUAAUUGUGAUUUAUGACGGUACCGACAGAAAAAGCACCGGCUAACUACGUGCCAGCAGCCGCGGUAAUACGUAGGGUGCGAGCGUUAAUCGGAAUUACUGGGCGUAAAGGGGGCGCAGGCGGUUUUGCAAGUCAGAUGGGAAAGCCCCGGGCUUAACCUGGGAAUUGCGUUUGAAACUACAAGGCUAGAGUGCAGCAGAGGGGAGUGGAAUUCCAUGUGUAGCAGUGAAAUGCGUAGAGAUGUGGAAGAACACCGAUGGGGAAGGCAGCUCCCUGGGCUGACACUGACGCUCAUGCACGAAAGCGUGGGGAGCAAACA
RNAcentral lists this ribosomal RNA (427 nucleotides) under uncultured beta proteobacterium. RNAcentral's name for it is "bacterial SSU rRNA". It matches the Rfam family "Bacterial small subunit ribosomal RNA", at positions 355 to 774 of the family's 1533-position model. The record is from RNAcentral. Lineage: Bacteria; Pseudomonadati; Pseudomonadota; Betaproteobacteria.